UUUCAUGUUUUCUAACUCUUCCUUAGAAUCGCGACGCUUAAGCAAAUAUUAAAUAAAUAUAAAAGCCAAAGGCAGCUAAGAGCAACAGGUAGCUAUAAUGCCGAUAGAGUGGGUGUCCUCGUGACCACUGAGGGUGCUCAGUCAGUCCCUCCCUUCGGCCGAUACUCAGCUUUAAAGAAGACGCCUUGGACCCUCCCGCCCCCGCCUCACACUUGGACCCUGCAAACUUCCUCUUCGGAGAUGUAUUUUCUCCGCAGCUUCCUGUGUACACUGCCUGGCACUGCUUGACGAUGGAAAAAAACCAGCGUCCGGCAACAGCCCUAACCCUCACUCAACAGGGAAGAAACAGAGCUAAGAGCUGGACAGUCCUCCGUGUGGUGAGACCAUCUCCUCCCAGUUGUUCAGUGUUUAUUACACGUGCUGACCUACAGGAGGCGUGUGGUCCCUUCUAGGAGACACUGUGCAUUUAUUUAACAGCGCUUCAAAAGCAACCCUGGAUUAAGACAUGGAAGAACCGAUGAAGGACUCUGAGGGCCUGGAGAAUGGUGGGGCCACCAGAUGGCAGAAGCCCAGGUCACUGGACGACUUCCUGCUCUCCAAAAAAACCACACUGGACAAAACCACAAAAGACCGUGAUUGGUCAAGUUGGAGGUUUCAUAGGACCGAAGCAUCCUGGGACCCUAAGUCAAGGUGUGGCGGACAGGUUUCCUUGAGCGUUGUCUGAAGCAGUGCACGUGUGAGUAAUAAAGCCUCUGAGAAGGUACAUUUUUAUUAAGCACUUAAAUAUGGGCCAAGCUGAGUAAGCACUUUUUGUGAGAAAUACUUAGCACAGUGCCUGGCCCUGAUAAGCUCUCAAUUAGUGUUCAUUGUUAUUGUUAUUCCUGUUUUGUCUUAGAUGUGUCUGUAUUUGCUCAAAUGGAUCCUGUGCUUUAGAUUACAGGACACUCAUGGAUGUCGCAGGGUGGGUGGCCAUCUUUGCUUAUCUUUUUCUCUAAAACAUCUGAAAGUUGUUUUAGAGAAACAACUUCCAGCUGAACUGGAAGUGCAGAUUUCUGGGAUUAGAGACAG
Long non-coding RNA from Hipposideros armiger (great roundleaf bat), 1068 nucleotides. RefSeq lists it as uncharacterized. NCBI's taxonomy places the organism in Eukaryota, Metazoa, Chordata, Mammalia, Chiroptera, Hipposideridae. The record is from RefSeq and is a predicted model, not a curated record. The transcript is spliced from 3 exons.